UACGUAGGGUGCAAGCGUUAAUCGGAAUUACUGGGCGUAAAGCGUGCGCAGGCGGUGAUGUAAGACAGAUGUGAAAUCCCCGGGCUCAACCUGGGAACUGCAUUUGUGACUGCAUCGCUGGAGUGCGGCAGAGGGGGAUGGAAUUCCGCGUGUAGCAGUGAAAUGCGUAGAUAUGCGGAGGAACACCGAUGGCGAAGGCAAUCCCCUGGGCCUGCACUGACGCUCAUGCGCGAAAGCGUGGGGAGCAAACCGG
RNAcentral lists this ribosomal RNA (253 nucleotides) under uncultured bacterium. RNAcentral's name for it is "partial 16S ribosomal RNA". It matches the Rfam family "Bacterial small subunit ribosomal RNA", at positions 524 to 776 of the family's 1533-position model. The record is from RNAcentral.